This 21-nucleotide unclassified non-coding RNA is filed under the name Dictyostelium discoideum. The record is from RNAcentral. Lineage: Eukaryota; Evosea; Eumycetozoa; Dictyosteliales; Dictyosteliaceae.
UGCGAUUGAACACUUCCUUCU